AAUGUUUUCCCCCAGGUUUGCCCCGCUGCUUCUCAGAGCAGGUUUCGAAUGGGGCUACCAAUAACUCCUGACCCUCUUCUUUUGUCAUGCAUGUUGCCCCACUGAUCUAUAAGAGGAAAUAGAACAUUUUCCUCUCCACGUGACAAAGUCUUUCAUCAAGAGAUCCAUUAGCUAGCAGGCGUCUGUCUGUCUCACAGCAUCACCUAUUCAUUACUGAAGAAAGGCACAAGAUGUCCCACCACAUAGUUGGGAUGCUUCUAGUCUAUAUGCACAUGACUGCCUCAGAAGAAUGGAUACAAAUCCAGCAAAGCCCAGCACAGCUGCAGCGGACCCCUGGACAGACUGCACAGCUGGACUGUCACUCUUCUAAAGUAAAAGGAAGGAUUAUGUGGUACAAGGAACAACAGAGUGGAAGUUUGAAAUGGAUUUACCAGAGUUUUGAGUCUGCACCUCCCGAUGGAAAAUACUCGAGUUAUGUGAGCACUGCGGCAAACACGUUUUCUCUGAUAAUCAAUAACCUGCAAAGAGACGACUCAGGGGUUUAUUACUGUGGCUUCUCUGCCUUUCUGUAUCUACAGCCCAACUUCGGGAAUGGGACCAGACUAAUUGUCACAGGAGACUGUAGGAUUGUGUUCUAUGCUGGGCUGCCCUGUAUUUUCAUCCUUCUCCUCAUCCAGCUGUUGAUCUUGCUUUGGAGGAAGUGCCCCAUCAGAGGGAGAGCUGUGCAAAGAGGGAAUCCAAUACCUAUGAGGCAGAUCCCACAGACUGAAUAUGCGACUCUGACUUACAACAGAAAUGCUUCUCGGUGACUGAUGCAGUCUCACAAAAGUGGUUUAUAUUUUUUAAAACAAGAGAUGCAAAAAGCAAGAACGAAAGCGAGAGAAUUACGGAAAGUCUCAUGUUUGUAAUGAGCUGUGAUGUGCUGUGCGUUUGCUUGAAAUACAGUCACUUCCUCGGUCA
This is a non-coding RNA of Chelonia mydas (Green sea turtle), 960 nucleotides long. NCBI's taxonomy places the organism in Eukaryota, Metazoa, Chordata, Testudines, Cheloniidae. The record is from the annotation of a RefSeq genome assembly.